GUGGUAAUACCGGAUGCUCCGCUCCAUCGCAUGGUGGGGUGGGAAAUGCUUUUGCGGCAUGGGAUGGGGUCGCGUCCUAUCAGCUUGUUGGCGGGGUGAUGGCCCACCAAGGCGUUGACGGGUAGCCGGCCUGAGAGGGUGACCGGCCACAUUGGGACUGAGAUACGGCCCAGACUCCUACGGGAGGCAGCAGUGGGGAAUAUUGCACAAUGGGCGCAAGCCUGAUGCAGCGACGCCGCGUGCGGGAUGGAGGCCUUCGGGUUGUAAACCGCUUUUGUUCAAGGGCAAGGCACGGUUUCGGCCGUGUUGAGUGGAUUGUUCGAAUAAGCACCGGCUAACUACGUGCCAGCAGCCGCGGUAAUACGUAGGGUGCGAGCGUUAUCCGGAUUUAUUGGGCGUAAAGGGCUCGUAGGCGGUUCGUCGCGUCCGGUGUGAAAGUCCAUCGCCUAACGGUGGAUCUGCGCCGGGUACGGGCGGGCUGGAGUGCGGUAGGGGAGACUGGAAUUCCCGGUGUAACGGUGGAAUGUGUAGAUAUCGGAAAAGAAACA
Molecule: ribosomal RNA, 548 nt
Filed under: Bifidobacterium animalis subsp. lactis
Lineage: Bacteria; Bacillati; Actinomycetota; Actinomycetes; Bifidobacteriales; Bifidobacteriaceae
Description: bacterial SSU rRNA
Rfam family: Bacterial small subunit ribosomal RNA
Source: RNAcentral